AGUGACGAAAAAUAACGAUACGGGACUCAUCCGAGGCCCCGUAAUCGGAAUGAGUACACUCUAAACCCUUUAACGAGGAUCAAUUGGAGGGCAAGUCUGGUGCCAGCAGCCGCGGUAAUUCCAGCUCCAAUAGCGUAUAUUAAAGUUGUUGCGGUUAAAAAGCUCGUAGUCGAAUCUGUGUCCCGCGCCGCCGGUUCAUCGUUCGCGGUGUUAACUGGCGUGCCGCGGGACGUCCUGCCGGUGGGCUUAGCUCGCAAGGGCGGCCCAACUCAAUCCCGCCGCGGUGCUCUUCAUUGAGUGUCGAGGUGGGCCGGCACGUUUACUUUGAACAAAUUAGAGUGCUUAAAGCAGGCUAAAACUUCGCCUGAAUACUGUGUGCAUGGAAUAAUGGAAUAGGACCUCGGUUCUAUUUUGUUGGUUUUCGGAACCCCGAGGUAAUGAUUAAUAGGAACGGAUGGGGGCAUUCGUAUUGCGACGUUAGAGGUGAAAUUCUUGGAUCGUCGCAAGACGGACAGAAGCGAAAGCAUUUGCCAAAAACGCUUUCAUUGAUCAAGAACGAAAGUUAGAGGUUCGAAGGCGAUCAGAUACCGCCCUAGUUCUAACCAUAAACGAUGCCAGCUAGCGAUCCGCCGACGUUCCUCCGAUGACUCGGCGGGCAGCUUCCGGGAAACCAAAGCUUUUGGGUUCCGGGGGAAGUAUGGUUGCAAAGCUGAAACUUAAAGGAAUUGACGGAAGGGCACCACCAGGAGUGGAGCCUGCGGCUUAAUUU
RNAcentral lists this ribosomal RNA (769 nucleotides) under Pimelia scabrosa. RNAcentral's name for it is "SSU rRNA". It matches the Rfam family "Eukaryotic small subunit ribosomal RNA", at positions 466 to 1196 of the family's 1831-position model. The record is from RNAcentral. Lineage: Eukaryota; Metazoa; Arthropoda; Insecta; Coleoptera; Tenebrionidae.